Molecule: long non-coding RNA, 215 nt
Filed under: Homo sapiens (human)
Lineage: Eukaryota; Metazoa; Chordata; Mammalia; Primates; Hominidae
Description: HSALNT0264337
Source: RNAcentral
CAAGUGAAUCCUCACUUUGGGCUCUGCUUCUAGACCCUGACUUAAGAUACAAAGGAAGGAGAAAUGAACCAUGAACAAUUCCAGAGAUUUUGAGACAUGGCAAUUGGACUUUCUGUCAGGGUAAACAUCACAGGAAUAUUCAUUUAGCAAAACUUACUGUGAGCUUGGUUGGACCAUAUAUUAUGGGAGCACCUUUUGCAAGGAUGAAAUACUCC